Molecule: ribosomal RNA, 372 nt
Filed under: uncultured bacterium
Lineage: Bacteria
Description: bacterial SSU rRNA
Rfam family: Bacterial small subunit ribosomal RNA
Source: RNAcentral
GAUGAACGCUAGCGGCAGGCUUAACACAUGCAAGUCGAGGGGUAUUGGUUUUCGGACCAAGGAGACCGGCGCGACGGGUGCGUAACGCGUAUGCAAUCUACCUUUGCAGAGGGAUAGCCCAGAGAAUUUGGAUUAAUACCUCAUAGUAUAGUACUUUGGCAUCAAGGAACUAUUAAAGUCACAACGGCAAAGAUGAGCAUGCGUCCAUUAGCUAGUUGGUAAGGUAACGGCUUACCAAGGCAACGAUGGGUAGGGGUCCUGAGAGGGAGACUCCCCCACACUGGUACUGAGACACGGACCAGACUCCUACGGGAGGCAGCAGUGAGGAAUAUUGGACAAUGGGCGCAAGCCUGAUCCAGCCAUGCCGCGUGC